ACUCGAACUUGAAAGUAGGGAGACUGGUGUUGGGUACAAAAUACCCCAACAGUCGAAGUUCGCGUCAGGAGUGACCCUCCGGGGAUUCUGCCAACUUCUGACCUUCGGCGACAUCUUUCCGAACCUCUCUGGCGGUCGAGCCUCCGCAGCAUUCUCGAGUUCUGCCGAUGGAUAAACCCCCACCAGCGUCGACCAGAUUCUUCAUGACAGACGGACUCCUACGGGAGCCGG
RNAcentral lists this long non-coding RNA (231 nucleotides) under Elaeis guineensis (African oil palm). RNAcentral describes it as "long non-coding RNA (EGUI_LNC051903)". The record is from RNAcentral. Lineage: Eukaryota; Viridiplantae; Streptophyta; Magnoliopsida; Arecales; Arecaceae.